Molecule: ribosomal RNA, 522 nt
Filed under: uncultured haloarchaeon
Lineage: Archaea; Methanobacteriati; Methanobacteriota; Halobacteria; Halobacteriales; Halobacteriaceae
Description: bacterial SSU rRNA
Rfam family: Archaeal small subunit ribosomal RNA
Source: RNAcentral
AUUCCGGUUGAUCCUGCCGGAGGACAUUGCUAUUGGGAUUCGAUUUAGCCAUGCUAGUCGAGCGAGUUCAGACUCGUGGCGAAUAGCUCAGUAACACGUGGCCAAGCUCCCCUUCAGUCAGCGAUACCCUCGGGAAACUGAGGUUAACAGCUGAUACAAAACGCCAGCUGGAAUGCGGCGUUUCAGAAAGACAUCGCUGAAGGAUGCGGCUGCGGCCGAUUAGGUUGACGGUGGGGUAACGGCCCACCGUGCCAGUAAUCGGUACGGGUGAUGAGAGUCAGAGCCCGGAGACGGAAUCUGAGACAAGAUUCCGGGCCCUACGGGGCGCAGCAGGCGCGAAACCUUUACACUGCACGAAAGUGCGAUAGGGGAAUCCCAAGUGCGAGGGCAUAUUAGCCCUCGCUUUUCUCGACUGUAAGGUGGUCGACGAAUAAGAGCUGGGCAAGACCGGUGCCAGCCGCCGCGGUAAUACCGGCAGCUCAAGUGAUGUCCCAUAUUAUUGGGCCUAAAGCGUCCGUAGCU